ACACUCCUGCGGGAGGCAGCAGUGGGGAAUAUUGCACAAUGGGCGCAAGCCUGAUGCAGCCAUGCCGCGUGUAUGAAGAAGGCCUUCGGGUUGUAAAGUACUUUCAGUGGGGAGGAAGGCGAUAAGGUUAAUAACCUUGUUGAUUGACGUUACCCGCAGAAGAAGCACCGGCUAACUCCGUGCCAGCAGCCGCGGUAAUACGGAGGGUGCAAGCGUUAAUCGGAAUUACUGGGCGUAAAGCGCACGCAGGCGGUCUGUCAAGUCGGAUGUGAAAUCCCCGGGCUCAACCUGGGAACUGCAUUCGAAACUGGCAGGCUAGAGUCUUGUAGAGGGGGGUAGAAUUCCAGGUGUAGCGGUGAAAUGCGUAGAGAUCUGGAGGAAUACCGGUGGCGAAGGCGGCCCCCUGGACAAAGACUGACGCUCAGGUGCGAAAGCGUGGGGAGCAAACAGGAUUAGAUACCCGGGUAGUCCCA
This 473-nucleotide ribosomal RNA is filed under the name uncultured organism. RNAcentral's name for it is "partial 16S ribosomal RNA". It matches the Rfam family "Bacterial small subunit ribosomal RNA", at positions 333 to 797 of the family's 1533-position model. The record is from RNAcentral.